GGAUGGGUGGCCGAGUGGUUUAAGGCACUAGUCUUGAAAACUAGCGUAGGUUAACGCCUACCGUGAGUUCGAAUCUCACCCCAUCCGCCA
RNAcentral lists this transfer RNA (90 nucleotides) under Alphaproteobacteria bacterium. RNAcentral describes it as "tRNA-Ser". It matches the Rfam family "tRNA". Rfam says of the family: Transfer RNA (tRNA) molecules are approximately 80 nucleotides in length. Their secondary structure includes four short double-helical elements and three loops (D, anti-codon, and T loops). Further hydrogen bonds mediate the characteristic L-shaped molecular structure. tRNAs have two regions of fundamental functional importance: the anti-codon, which is responsible for specific mRNA codon recognition, and the 3' end, to which the tRNAs corresponding amino acid is attached (by aminoacyl-tRNA synthetases). tRNAs cope with the degeneracy of the genetic code in two manners: having more than one tRNA (with a specific anti-codon) for a particular amino acid; and 'wobble' base-pairing, i.e. permitting non-standard base-pairing at the 3rd anti-codon position. The record is from RNAcentral. Lineage: Bacteria; Pseudomonadati; Pseudomonadota; Alphaproteobacteria.